Molecule: ribosomal RNA, 366 nt
Filed under: uncultured bacterium
Lineage: Bacteria
Description: bacterial SSU rRNA
Rfam family: Bacterial small subunit ribosomal RNA
Source: RNAcentral
GUAGGGGGCAAGCGUUGUCCGGAUUUAUUGGGCGUAAAGAGCGUGUAGGCGGCCAGGUAGGUCCGUUGUGAAAACUCGAGGCUCAACCUCGAGACGCCGAUGGAAACCAUCUGGCUAGAGUCCGGAAGAGGAGAGUGGAAUUCCCGGUGUAGCGGUGAAAUGCGCAGAUAUCGGGAAGAACACCCGUGGCUAAGGCGGCUCUCUAGUACGGUACUGACGCUGAGACGCGAAAGCGUGGGGAGCGAACAGGAUUAGAUACCCUGGUAGUCCACGCCGUAAACGAUGGGUGCUAGGUGUGGGAGGUGUCGACUCCUCCUGUGCCGAAGCUAACGCAUUAAGCACCCCGCCUGGGGAGUACGGCCGCAA